GGGGAACUAGCUCAUUCGGUAGAGCGUUCGCUUAGCAGGCGAAAGGUACCAGGUUCGAUCCCUGGGUUCUCCA
RNAcentral lists this transfer RNA (73 nucleotides) under Pseudoloma neurophilia. It matches the Rfam family "tRNA". Rfam says of the family: Transfer RNA (tRNA) molecules are approximately 80 nucleotides in length. Their secondary structure includes four short double-helical elements and three loops (D, anti-codon, and T loops). Lineage: Eukaryota; Fungi; Microsporidia. The record is from Rfam by way of RNAcentral.